Molecule: ribosomal RNA, 497 nt
Filed under: uncultured bacterium
Lineage: Bacteria
Description: partial 16S ribosomal RNA
Rfam family: Bacterial small subunit ribosomal RNA
Source: RNAcentral
GACGAACGCUGGCGGCGUGCCUAAUACAUGCAAGUUGAGCGAUGAAGCUUGGUGCUUGCACCAAUUUGAAGAGCAGCGAACGGGUGAGUAACGCGUGGGGAAUCUGCCUUUGAGCGGGGGACAACAUUUGGAAACGAAUGCUAAUACCGCAUAACAACUUUAAACAUAAGUUUUAAGUUUGAAAGAUGCAAUUGCAUCACUCAAAGAUGAUCCCGCGUUGUAUUAGCUAGUUGGUGAGGUAAAGGCUCACCAAGGCGAUGAUACAUAGCCGACCUGAGAGGGUGAGCGGCCACAUUGGGACUGAGACACGGCCCAAACUCCUGCGGGAGGCAGCAGUAGGGAAUCGUCGGCAAUGGACGAAAGUCUGACCGAGCAACGCCGCGUGAGUGAAGAAGGUUUUCGGAUCGUAAAACUCUGUUGGUAGAGAAGAACGAUGGUGAGAGUGGAAAGCUCAUCAAGUGACGGUAACUACCCAGAAAGGGACGGCUAACUACGUG